CCUACGGGAGGCAGCAGUGGGGAAUNUUGNGCAAUGGGGGAAAGCCUGUNNCAGNGACNNCGCGUGAGCGAAGAAGGCCUUCGGGUUGUAAAGAUAUGUUGUAAGGGGNGAAGAAACUUGGUAGUAAGGGACCAGGCAGUGACGGUACCUUACCAGCAAGCCCCGGCUAACUACGUGCCAGCAGCCGCGGUAAGACGUAGGGGGCGAGCGUUGUCCGGAAUUACUGGGCGUAAAGAGCACGUAGGCGGGUAUUUAAGUCAGGUGUGAAAGACCGCGGCCCAACUGCGGGGUUGCACUUGAAACUGAAUAUCUUGAGGGCAGGAGAGGUCAGUGGAAUUCCUGGUGUAGCGGUGAAAUGCGUAGAUAUCAGGAGGAACACCAGUGGCGAAGGCGACUGUCUGGACUGACCCUGACGCUGAGGUGCGAAAGCGUGGGUAGCAAACAGGAUUAGAUACCCCGGUAGUCCACGCCGUAAACGAUGGAUACUAGGUGUGGGAGGUAUCGACCCCUUCCGUGCCGGAGCUAACGCAAUAAGUAU
This 538-nucleotide ribosomal RNA is filed under the name uncultured Syntrophomonadaceae bacterium. RNAcentral's name for it is "bacterial SSU rRNA". It matches the Rfam family "Bacterial small subunit ribosomal RNA", at positions 338 to 867 of the family's 1533-position model. Lineage: Bacteria; Bacillati; Bacillota; Clostridia; Eubacteriales; Syntrophomonadaceae. The record is from RNAcentral.